RNAcentral lists this ribosomal RNA (468 nucleotides) under uncultured bacterium. RNAcentral's name for it is "partial 16S ribosomal RNA". It matches the Rfam family "Bacterial small subunit ribosomal RNA", at positions 28 to 507 of the family's 1533-position model. The record is from RNAcentral.
GACGAACGCUGGCGGCGUGCUUAACACAUGCAAGUCGAACGGAAAGUCCCUGCUUUUGUGGGGUGCUCGAGUGGCGAACGGGUGAGUAACACGUGAGUAACCUGCCCUUGACUUUGGGAUAACUUCAUGAAACUGGGGCUAAUACCGGCUAGGAGCUCCUGCUGCAGGGUGGGGGUUGGAUAGUUUCGGCGGUUGGGGAUGGACUCGCGGCUUAUCAGCUUGUUGGUGGGGUAGUGGCUUACCAAGGCUUUGACGGGUAGCCGGCCUGAGAGGGUGACCGGACACAUUGGGACUGAGAUAAGGCACAGACUCGUACGGGAGGCAGCGGUGGGGAAUAGUGUACAAGGGGCGGAAGCCUAAUGCAGCAACGCCGCGUGCGGGAUGACGGCCUUGGGGUUGUAAACCGCUUUCGCCUGUGACGAAGCGUGAGUGACGGUAAUGGGUAAAGAAGCACCGGCUAACUACGUG